GUCAUGAGAUCCAGCCCCAUGUUGGGCUCCAUGCUCAGCGCAGAGUCUGCUUGAGAUUCCCUCCCCCUCUGCUCCUCCCCUUGCUCGUGCUUGCUCACUCUCUCUUUCUCAAAAAAUAAAUAAGCAAGCAAAUAAAUAAAAUAUUAAAAAAAAAAAUAUCAGUGCUCCAUGUCCCCACUGCCUGCCCUCCUCUAGGAGUUAGGUAAGUUACCUGAAAUGUCCCUGGUUCUCCCCCUAUCAGAUCAGAGCUGUCCCUGUGGCUUAGUGAUGGCCCUCCUGCUCCAGGAUCCUGUGGCAGUGAGAGUCCCAGGUUCAUCUGCAGCCCUAUUGCUUGUCUCUUAAUCUGGCCAGUGGGAAACAGCCUAUCCAAUUCCCAUUGGUGACCCAGAGAAAAUUGUAGGCAUUCAGUAAUAUUUCUGUGCUUCAUAUCAAGGUCUAGUUCUUUCCAAAGGACAUCGAUGGGACUGGGCAAGAGAGAGAUGGCCCUAUACCAAGAGAUAAGUAUUGUCUGGGAGAAACCACUGUCCCCUUUAGACCUUAGGUUCCUGUUGCUCAGGAUUCCCAUUUUAGGCCUGGUUCCUAUAUAAGACUUUUUUUUUUUUUUCCAAGGAGAUGUUAUGUUGAUCCUCUCUUGAGGAUCUCAGACUACUUCGGUACAUGUCUGUCAGCUCAGAGAUGGUGUUUAUUCAUUUGAAGGCAAUCUCUGCAAACAUGUGUGUUCAGAAUCACCAGGGUAGUGUUCUCCAGUGAUGUGGUCAGAAAGGCUCUGUUCGAAUGCCGGGCCUACCACGGGAGCAUGAGGGACGCCUCAAAUUCCAUUUGGAGGCAUCUUUGAGCUCGCCGAGUAGACACCAUGAGCAAAGCUCACCCUCCCAAGUUGAAAAAAUUUAUGGACAAGAAAUUAUCAUUGAAAUUAAAUGGUGGCAGACAUGUCCAAGGAAUAUUGCGGGGGUUCCAUCCGUUUAUGAAUCUUGUGAUAGAUGAAUGUGUGGAGAUGGCAACUAGUGGGCCACAGAACAAUACGAGGAAAUAGUAUCAUCAUGUUAGAAGCCUUGGAACAAGUAUAAACAAUGGGUGUGUUCAUCAGAAGAAAUCAACUCCUUCCACAUGUCCCCUCUCCAUAGUACCUGUUUUACUACAAUAUAAAAAUCAGGUCGUGUGCAUUUUCAUAUUGAAUUUUUUGUUAAAUAAACUUUUAUAAUAGUCCAAACAAGAAAAGAAAAGGAAAGAAAGGCUCUGUUCACUCUCACUAGCUCUGAGAGGUGCCCAAAGUUGGUUGGAUAUGGUUUCUCUACUUAGGUAGCCUUGCUUGCUGCCGCUGUGUUCUGCACCCCUCCAAGGGUGAGGCCCAGGUUGAAAGUAGAUUGUUCUCAUCCAGCAGAAGUGUGCUUGGAUGCUGGCCACACAUCCCCAUCCCCUCCUGCAGAAGCAGCUCAGGGCAUUCCUUGUUUAACUGUCAUAUGGGCCACUUAAGCAAUGCUUUUCUGAGAGGCAGUGUGGGAGAUAUUGUCCUGAUAAAUUGUGAAAUGCCUCUUUGUAAGCCAUCCUGUUCUUUUUUUUUUUUUUUAAGAUUUUAUUCAUUUAUUUGAGAGAGUGAGAGAGAGAGAGCACAUGAGA
RNA transcript from Mirounga angustirostris (Northern elephant seal), 1617 nucleotides. It is a transcript of the gene named small nuclear ribonucleoprotein G-like, with no coding region annotated. The record is from RefSeq and is a predicted model, not a curated record. NCBI's taxonomy places the organism in Eukaryota, Metazoa, Chordata, Mammalia, Carnivora, Phocidae. The transcript has a single exon.